This 483-nucleotide ribosomal RNA is filed under the name uncultured bacterium. RNAcentral's name for it is "bacterial SSU rRNA". It matches the Rfam family "Bacterial small subunit ribosomal RNA", at positions 28 to 494 of the family's 1533-position model. The record is from RNAcentral.
AAUCAACGCUGGCGGCGUGCCUAACACAUGCAAGUCGAACGCGAGAGGGGCUUCGGCCCCGAUUGAGUGGCGAACGGGUGAGUAACGCGUGGGUGACCUACCUUCGAGUGGGGGAUAACGUCCCGAAAGGGACGCUGAUACCGCAUAACAUCCUGCUUUUGAAUGGGUGGAGAUCAAAGCCGGGGAUCGCAAGACCUGGCGCUUGAUGAGGGGCCCGCGUCUGAUUAGCUAGNGGUGAGGUAACGGCCCACCAAGGCAACGAUCAGUAUCCGGCCUGAGAGGGCGGACGGACACACUGGGACUGAGACACGGCCCAGACUCCUACGGGAGGCAGCAGUGGGGAAUUGUUCGCAAUGGGCGCAAGCCUGACGACGCAACGCCGCGUGGAGGAUGAAGGUCUUCAGAUUGUAAACUCCUGUUGCCCGGGACGAAUGGCUCCGACCUAACACGUCGGAGUGUGACGGUACCGGGUGAGGAAGCCCC